GGGGGCGAAUUAGGUUUCGACGGGGAUAUGGAGUAAGGAGUAGCGAGCCGUUGUCGCCAAACAACGUAAAAAGUGGCACUUAAAUUUAAACGCAGACGAUAAUUUAGCAUUAGCAGCGUAAUUUAAACGUUGUCGCUCUACCUAGUAGUCCCACCUAUUAGGAUAGAGUGUCAUUGUAGUGGGGAACUACUAUAGGCUUUCUCCAACCUAUAGUGGAAUAUGGAGAUAGCUAAGUAUAAAGCUUGCUAUUGGGCGUUAUACAAAGCGAAUACUAAAUCAGUAGCUGCGCUCGGAGAAGCUCUUUAUAAAGUAUUUUCGGACGUGGGUUCGAUUC
Molecule: transfer-messenger RNA, 334 nt
Filed under: Anaerosalibacter massiliensis
Lineage: Bacteria; Bacillati; Bacillota; Tissierellia; Tissierellales; Sporanaerobacteraceae
Rfam family: transfer-messenger RNA
About the family: Bacterial tmRNA, also known as 10Sa RNA or SsrA, is named for its dual tRNA and mRNA-like properties. Its role is to liberate the mRNA from a stalled ribosome.
Source: RNAcentral